RNAcentral lists this ribosomal RNA (473 nucleotides) under uncultured organism. Its description in RNAcentral is "partial 16S ribosomal RNA". It matches the Rfam family "Bacterial small subunit ribosomal RNA", at positions 335 to 799 of the family's 1533-position model. The record is from RNAcentral.
ACUCCUACGGGAGGCAGCAGUGGGGAAUAUUGCACAAUGGGCGCAAGCCUGAUGCAGCCAUGCCGCGUGUAUGAAGAAGGCCUUCGGGUUGUAAAGUACUUUCAGCGGGGAGGAAGGCGAUAAGGUUAAUAACCUUGUUGAUUGACGUUACCCGCAGAAGAAGCACCGGCUAACUCCGUGCCAGCAGCCGCGGUAAUACGGAGGGUGCAAGCGUUAAUCGGAAUUACUGGGCGUAAAGCGCACGCAGGCGGUCUGUCAAGUCGGAUGUGAAAUCCCCGGGCUCAACCUGGGAACUGCAUUCGAAACUGGCAGGCUAGAGUCUUGUAGAGGGGGGUAGAAUUCCAGGUGUAGCGGUGAAAUGCGUAGAGAUCUGGAGGAAUACCGGUGGCGAAGGCGGCCCCCUGGACAAAGACUGACGCUCAGGUGCGAAAGCGUGGGGAGCAAACAGGAUUAGAAACCCGUGUAGUCCCAUG